Molecule: transfer RNA, 86 nt
Filed under: Tritonibacter mobilis
Lineage: Bacteria; Pseudomonadati; Pseudomonadota; Alphaproteobacteria; Rhodobacterales; Paracoccaceae
Also listed under: 2 other names
Description: Epibacterium mobile tRNA-Leu
Rfam family: tRNA
About the family: Transfer RNA (tRNA) molecules are approximately 80 nucleotides in length. Their secondary structure includes four short double-helical elements and three loops (D, anti-codon, and T loops). Further hydrogen bonds mediate the characteristic L-shaped molecular structure. tRNAs have two regions of fundamental functional importance: the anti-codon, which is responsible for specific mRNA codon recognition, and the 3' end, to which the tRNAs corresponding amino acid is attached (by aminoacyl-tRNA synthetases). tRNAs cope with the degeneracy of the genetic code in two manners: having more than one tRNA (with a specific anti-codon) for a particular amino acid; and 'wobble' base-pairing, i.e. permitting non-standard base-pairing at the 3rd anti-codon position.
Source: RNAcentral
GCCCAAGUGGCGGAAUGGUAGACGCAGGGGAUUCAAAAUCCCCCGAUGGAAACAUCAUGUCGGUUCGAGUCCGACCUUGGGUACCA